This 253-nucleotide ribosomal RNA is filed under the name uncultured bacterium. RNAcentral describes it as "partial 16S ribosomal RNA". It matches the Rfam family "Bacterial small subunit ribosomal RNA", at positions 524 to 776 of the family's 1533-position model. The record is from RNAcentral.
UACGUAGGCAGCAAGCGUUGUUCGGAGUUACUGGGCGUAAAGGGUGUGUAGGCGGUUGGAUAAGUGUGGUGUGAAAUCUCCCGGCUCAACUGGGAGGGUGCGCUACAAACUGUCUGACUAGAGUGUGGGAUGGGAAAGUGGAAUUCCUGGUGUAGCGGUGAAAUGCGUAGAUAUCAGGAGGAAUACCGGUGGUGCAGACGGCUCUCUGGACCGCGACUGACGCUGAGACACGAAAGCGUGGGUAGCAAACAGG